UAUAUCUCCACUCUUCUAUGCAUGUUUAGACUUUUCUAUAAAAGAAAUUAUAUAUGGUUAGAGGUAUUAUUGUUUUAUUAGUUUUAUUAUUAUUGGCUUUUUGGUUAAGUAUUGGCUUUCUCUUUGAAACCACACAUACAUCCCCAAACACCUCUAGUGUGCAACACUGCAUGCUUCUUUUUUUUGGAGGCGAUGCUAAUGCGGAUGCUGAGUGUUUUUAUCUGACAAAUUCAGUUGGUGAUUCUUUUUAUGACGUAUAACAUUAUCCAUUGCGUAUUUACCUCUGUUGGAAGCUGCCUGUGUGCUUAUUUUGAAGAAUCAACUGAAGAGUAAUAGGAAAUGACAAUUCUAGCAAAAGACAAAACCUUGUGAGCUGAUGCAGCAAAAGGGAGAAAUGGGGAAAGGGGCAGAUAUUAAGAAAGAAAAAACAGAACAACGGGAGACAACGAGAGAAAA
Molecule: non-coding RNA, 456 nt
Organism: Carica papaya (papaya)
Lineage: Eukaryota; Viridiplantae; Streptophyta; Magnoliopsida; Brassicales; Caricaceae
Source: RefSeq, a predicted model, not a curated record